CCCCUUCUAGCUCAGUCGGUAGAGCAUGAGACUCUUAAUCUCAAGGUUUUUGGUUCGUGCCCCACUUUGGGCG
Danionella cerebrum is the source of this 73-nucleotide non-coding RNA. The record is from the annotation of a GenBank genome assembly. NCBI's taxonomy places the organism in Eukaryota, Metazoa, Chordata, Actinopteri, Cypriniformes, Danionidae.